UAGACUAUAGUCAAUAUAUGAUAUAUGAGUUGCAUUCAUAAGGAGUUCUUCAGAACUAGUUUAA
This 64-nucleotide transfer RNA is filed under the name Macromedaeus distinguendus. RNAcentral describes it as "tRNA-Ala". Lineage: Eukaryota; Metazoa; Arthropoda; Malacostraca; Decapoda; Xanthidae. The record is from RNAcentral.